CAUGGAUGAGUGCGGCCUAUUUCUUUCUAUAAUUUACAAGCUACGAGCUUUAGAACAUAAAUUUCAACACCUAUAUGAUUAACAUUUGAUUAUCAAUUGUUAGUGCCUCACUUGAUUGGUUAAACACAUAUUUGAUUAAGUUUCCUGUCAAGUUGUUUUCAUGGUUGUCUCAUAAUACGUUUCAGAAUAUUCUUGUCUCAACAAUUGUCAUAGAAGUUGAGAAAGUUGUGACGAUUCAUUAUAUUCUAUUGAUUCUUUUUUGCUGUGUCGUGCUUUUCUAGAAUAUUCUUGCUUUGUUGUCAAUAAUAUUGAUUGUAUCUAGUGGUUGUCUGAUUGCUAAGUAGUUUAUGGAUGUCGUACGACCACUUUUCACUUUUUGUCAAAUACUAAGUCAUUUUUUAUUAUCAUUUGAUUGUCAUCUAAUUGGCUUCCAUAUAUAUAUAUUUUUUAGGUUAGGUUGGGUUGAAUUUUCGUGUUAUUUAUUUCUUUUUUAUUUUAAGUAUAUUAUUUGUUAAAACACUAAAUUCAUAAACUCAAAUAUUAAAUAUCAAAAUUAAACAUAUUUAUUACAAACUUAAAAAAAAUUCAUAAUAGUAUGUAUGAAUUAUACCAUUUAUACAUUGUAACAUAUAUUUUAGUAAUAUUAGAUAUUCGAAAUGGAUUGGAUCAACCCAAAUUUUAAAAAGAAUGUAACUCGAACCAAAUUCAAUCUCGAAAAACAUUAAAAAAUUCAAUCAAACUCAAUUCAAAAUAGAAAUUAAAUCCAAUUCAAGUCUUACAAUUUGAAUGGAAUAAUGUAGAUUGUUGGGUUAUAACAUUAAUAAUCUUACACGUAUUUAAAUAAUAAUAAUUAAGGAUUUAAGGUGAGUUAUGUACAUAAACUAAUCAUUUAAAAUAAUCUAUUUAAUUAAGGCUAAAUAUUCUAGGGAUAAAACCUAUUCCUAGAUUGAUUAGGAUUUAAUGGAAGCUAAUAUAUAAAGAAACUUAGGCUCUCCUCUCCAAUAUACUAAAACAAUAAAUACUCAGAAUUUUUCUAUUCCGUUGAGUUGAGAGAUCCUGAGCAAGACACAGUAGUCAUUUUAUAGCCAAGAGAUCCUGAGCAAGACACAAUAGUCAUCAAUUACUGAAAGAUGAAAUUUAGUAUGUAAUUUAUUCUUGACAAUUUGACAUAAAUGAUCUUGAAUUAAUCUAUUAUAUAGAUCUAAAUAUGGAUGUCUAACCCAUUUUGGUUGAAAAAAUUAUUAUAACAAAUAUAAUUGAAAUAACUAAAGAAUGUCAUCUCAUUCAACUAAAACCACGAUUAGAUUUCGUGGAGUUCUAUAGUUCGCUUUCAAAGAAAAAAAAAUUAUAUUCAACUAAAUAAAUUUUCUCAUGCAUGAUCUCUUUUCCUAAAUUUGUAAUUAAUUACAAAUAAUCAACACACAAAUUAAAUAACCAAAAUAUAUUUUCUUUGUCGGUUGGUGUGUAGCAAUGGAUUCUUCAAGUGGUUAUUUACCAUUACCAUUGAAUCAUUAUGUUGGCGUCAAGUUUAGGCCUACCGACCAACAACUUCUUCAUUAUCUUCAUUGUAAGAUUUAUGGUCAGCCUUAUUUUCAAGGAGCUGUUUUCGACUUUGAUCUUUAUGGUGGAGUCGAGCCAUGGGAAAUCUGGCAAAGUUUCGGAGGAAUUGAUGGUGAAGAUCUUUACUUCUUCACUAAGCUCAAGAGGUCGACAACUAACUCUGGAAAUUUGUCUACUCACAUUAACCGCAAGAUUGGACUCGUCAAUGGUACUUGGAGUGGUGAGAAUUCAGCUAGUCCAAUUUAUGUUAACAAAGAUCAUGAACAAAUAAUUGGUUAUCGCAAGCGCUUUAGGUAUGUGUUUCGGUUUUCGUUUUUGUUAAACUAGUUCUCAAUAUAUAUGUGUCAUUGUUGGGUUUGUUUUAAGCUAUUAGGGAAUUGUCAAGGUAUUUCUCUAUUUGGUAUUUUGUGAUAAAUAAUAUAAUUUUGUAAAUUAUAGGUAUGAGAAUGAGUCGUUGGAAGAACACCAUGGUGAAUGGAUAAUGCAUGAAUAUAGCUUGCAUCCAGAUUAUUUGAGGUGUGAAGGUGUGGAUCCCAAUUAUGUUUUAUGUCGAAUAAGGAAGAAUCAAAGGGCUAAAAGAAAAUUAGAAACUGAAAGUGAGCUGAAACAAUCAAACAAGAAAAGAAUGAAGGUACGUGAGAUCUCUAAUAAUGAAAGACCAAAAGCAAAAACAAAAACAAAGAAAAGAUGUGACGAGUUACAACCAAUAGAUCAAAGAGCAAUAAUAUGUGAGACAAUCUACAACUCGGAUAUCAGACAUGAUGUGAAUACUCAUCAAGAUAUUACUGUUGUGGAUCAUGUGCCAAAUAUGACCACUAAUCAAGAUAACAUAAAUGAAAACACUAGUUUGGGUACCAAAGAAUACGUACCUUGCAUGUCCACUGACAACGAAUUGAGAGAUGAGUUCAACAAUGUUGACUUUUCUACUUAUUUUCAAAACAACUUCAACGAGACAUCAUGUACUUUCAAAGUUUGAUUGGACAUAGUCGUUAUUCAUUGUAUAGAUAUGAUGUGGAAUGCAUUAUUAUUAAUGAACUAUCAUUUAUUUAUUAUCAUUUAUUUAUUUUUUGUAAUACAAUAAAUAUUAUUCUUUGUCGCUCCAAAUAACACCUUAGUAUCUAUCUAUUUUCAUACUACAAAAAUAAUUUAAAUUCUAUAUAAAAAAAAAUUAUAUUGAAGUAUUGACGGAAGUAACAACCAAAGUUCCAAAAAAUCCAAUGAAAAUCAAUGAAAUUUAGAUUAAACUUUAGAGAGCCGCUGAAUUGAAACAUCUUCCAUAAACAUAUUAUAAGUUAUAAAUUUAGAUUUAAUUUUUAAGUAUUUCUAUUUUGUUGAUUUUUUUUUGUUGUAAUUCAGUUUCUAAUAGAUAUUUGUUAUGUGUGAUUGUCUUGUAUUUCUAAUUUAAAUUUUAGUUUUGGUUAAAUAGUUUCCAAAAUUUUGAAUUCUAUAUCUAUUUAAUCUUUAAAUUUUUAAAAGUGUCAAUACAUCUUAAACUUUUCAUCCUCUAUACAAGUUAUCUAUAAGUCUAUCUUUAUUCCGUCAAACUAUCACGUUAAAAUGUUAAACGUUGCAACAAAGUUUGGCCAUUCAUACGAUACAUAUCCUAAAAGUAAAGAAGAGUUUUUCUUUUCUAGAUCCUUUUGACAAUACAAUACCGAGAAAUUCAACAUGAAAAAGCAAGCUAACCCUAAAGUGCUCAGAUUUAAAGUGUCCUAAUCAUCUUCUUUUUUUUUUUUUUUGUUGAUGCUGCUUUUAAGAUUUUUUCAAAGUCUAUAAAAAAAAAUCAUACAAAUAACAUCAAAUCACAAUAAACACAUUACCAGGUUCAUGCGAGCAUAUAUUAAAAUUUUCAUACAUUUUCUAUAACAAAAAUUAUCUACUACGACAGUUGUUUACAUUAGAAAUUGGAAAGGAGAAAAAAAAAACUGAAAACGAAAAUUAAAGGGUUUUAAAGCUUUCCCUCAAAUCAAAAUUUCUCCCAAAUUAAAAACCUUCGUUCCUCCCGAAAGAAGUCAUCUCCAAAUGUAAAAAAGGUCAUCUUCGGACGAUGCCAAUUCCCAUCACCACCCUCUCAUUCUCGUCUCCUCACUCUAGCGCCUGUCGUAACCUCAUCUACCGAACGACAAAGCCUCCUCUAUUGUAACCUAUUCAAUUUGUGUCUGUCAUCUCCAAUUCGCUGCAAUCUCUUCAACGUUCAAACUGUAGUCGUCACCUCCUCUGUCGGUAAGUCAUCUGUUCCUCUUCUCUUUCUCUCUCCCGUGAAGUUUUGCUUAAGAGAGAAAUUUCCUACUUGAAAUUUUUUCCAGAUUUUCCAUUACGCAAAAAAUUUCCUUUCUUCCUUUUUCUAAUUUGAUGAUGAUUAUGAAGAUAAUCACGAGUGUUUCAUCUCCAGAUUUUUGUUCUACUUGAUUCAUAUUCGUUUCUUUGUUUUCUUUGAUCGAAACUCUGUUUCUUUCCCAAAAUUCGACCGCCACGGAAAAGCUUUCCUUCAAGGAUUCGCUUAAAGCACUUGAAGUCGAUGUUCAGCAUGUCAAUACGCUGUAACCCUCUUCUUCUUUUUCUUUACGUAUCAAUUUUUUUUUAAAUUUUUUUGUUUGUUUUGUUUGCUAUAAAUCGUUGUGAAUUAAGAAACUGGUUCUGAUAUGUGUAUUGCUUGAUUUAGUUUGUUAACUUUCUAUUGCUUGUUUUGGUUUUCUGUAGAAGGUACUUGUUCCACUGUCUACAGUAUAAUGGACCGUUUACUUCUUGAAACUCAGUACAUUGUUCAAUGGUGGAUAAGGAAUGUUAAUGUGUCCUUUAAUAUAAUGUCGAAUCAAAGUUGACUUGAAGCUGAAAGAGAACAAGACAAAAAGGUAAAAGGUCUUGAAAAUGAGAUGUUUAUUUAAAGAAAUUUGGGUUUAGGAUAUAUUCUUUUAUUAUAUGACACCUCCCCUUGUCUUUAUAAUUUUAUAUAAUACUAUUUUGGUGAUGUGUUUUUUUGGUUUUUCUGCUGUACAUUUUUUCACGAGAAGAUUGUUCUUUGAUGUUUAGAGGAGCCUAAUACUUCAUCCUUAGUUGACCUUAGUUGAGAAAGAGCUCUCCAACUCUAACCUAAAAGGAGCUUAAAGAUAAGUAUUCGUUGACAGCAGUAGGCAGUAGGCCUUUAAUUAUUUAUCACAUUGUGAGGUCUAAUUGAAUUUCUUCAACUUCAAAUAUUUUUGUCAUUACACUCUUAAAUUAAUUAAUUUUAGUUUGCUAUAUCUAUGCAUAAACAAAUUUGUGGAUUUUAAUGUUAAUAUGUAAUCUUCCAAAUAUUGUUGGUUGUUGAUGGAAACACCAAUUGACAUUUCGACUUCUGUUAGUACUUACUUUUAUAUACCCACAAUUCUUUCUUAUUUGUAACUUGUUCCAUUCUAUUGGGAUUUUUAAUUACAAGUUCUUUUAAAAAUUGUUUAUCUAUCUAACUUGUGUCAAUAUUUAUUUAUGCCAUCAGCUUUACGAAUGUGUUUUGGUUUUGGUUUUUGUUAAACUAGUUCUCAAUAUUUUGUUAAACUAGUUCUCAAUAUAUGCAUUCAUAUAACCUGACAAUAUAGGGUUAUUGAUUUGGUUUUUAUAAAAUGAGUGAAAAAUUUGUUCAUAUAACCAAUAAUUUAACUACACCAUUCUUAAAAAAAAAUCACUCAUCUAAAUGAAGUGUGUUGUUCAUUCACAAAUUUUUCUAUUUAAAAAAAACGUUAUUUUGAAUGAGAUUAGUUCAACGUGAUUAUCUUUGGAUUGAACAGCUUUAGAGAUUAAAAAAAAAAAUUUACUCAUGCCUAUAACUUUGGUAGUCCAUUACGAUUUACCUUUUUUAUUAGACGUUAUUUGAUAAUUAUUUAAGCUUUGUUUUUCUUUUAUUAUUGUUUUUGAAAAUCAAGCCUAUAUCCAUUACUUUCGGCUCCAAAUUUUUUCUUUUUUAUUUGCAUUUUAUAAAUGGUUUAAAAAAACAAAGCCAAAAUUGAAAAACUAAUACAAAAAAAUAUACCUUUUAAAAUUUUAUUUUCUAUUUUUGAAAUUUGGUGAAGAACGAUGCAAAACAUUGGAGUGAUGAGAAUAACAUAACUUUAAUUUUUAAAAAUAAAAAAGCCAAAUGAUUACCAAAUAUGAUUUAGUUUUUUAUUCAUGGAUUUUUGAAAAUUAAUCUUUAAAAAAACUAUUAUUUUUAAAAAAAAUAAAGCCAAGACGUGAAAACUAUGUUAUUGUUUAAAUUUGGCCAUAUAAAACUUUCCGCUUGUUGAACUAAUUUCUUUUGUAUUAGUCAAAGAAUCCUGACAUUAUGGUGUGUUGAUUAUUACCUUAGUGGUUCAUUAGGUUAUUUUCUUAGUAGGGUUGUCAUUGUCCUUGGUGAAGAACAACUACUCAAGUUUUCUUUUGCCCUGCAUGCUAUAUUGCUUACUCUUGGAGAGAUUGUCGUUUCGAUCUGAUCUUGUAUGACAGGUUGUGUUUGACAAGUUGUAUAACAUAUAUAAGAAGAGAAGUUGUAGUGGGUUAGGAGGAGCCUAAUGACAUUAUGGUGAUGGAGUGAAUAAUUCAGGGGAGCUUAAUUCUAUUAAGGAGAGUCAAACAAGUAUCAACUACUUAGGGAGUAGCCUAAGUGAUCGUUAGUCUAAUCUUGUUGUCUAUCAAGAUUUCUUGAAAAUUAAGUUGUUACCUGUAAUCCUUUUCAUUUACUCUAGUGAGCGUUCUUCUUAUUCGAGCAUACUCCCUUGGACGUAGGUGUUGAACAACGAACUGAGUUACCAAUUUUUUUAUGUAAUUCUUUACUUGUUUCACUUUGUUAAUUAAUUACCUUGUUAUAACUUUUGAACUAACAUUCUAUCACUAGUUUAUAUACGUUGUUUUCUCAAACUAAAAUAAUAGUUUUUUAAAAAAAUAUAUUAUUUUUUUUUGUAAAUAUCAGGUGCAACGGAAAAACAUUAAAAUAAAUUGAGGUUUAGUGUAAUGCUACUAGUAGAGUAGUUUCUGAAUACGGGAGAGCGACUUGUCCAUAAUCCAGUGAGUGCUUGUAUAUCUUCUCAUAAAGCGACUGAGAUUUUUCUUCUCUGGUAAAAAUUCUCCUAUUUCUUUCUAACCAUAAAGACCAGAGGGUGACGACCGCCAUGUUUAAGUGGAUGAUUUGUUUUUUGGACUUGGGUCUGUUUCUGCAAAUGUAUUUGCAUAGGAGAGCAGUGUUAUCAAAGUUGUGUUAGAUGAUUUAGAAGAGUUUCAACCUUAUCCCAAAUGUCUUUGCUGUAUGGACAGAUGCAGAAUAGAUGAUUUCUGUUUUCUUCAUUUUUCUUGCAAAGAGCACACCAAGAUGGAUGUAAAACCCAAUUUGGGAGUCUUUUCUGUAAAACUUCAGCCGUGUUUAUACUUGGAAUAAAAAUUCAUCUAUAUUCAAGAAACGUGAAAACCAUUGUAUAAAAUUUGGUAGGAAAAAACAAUGCAUAAAAUACUUGACCUCCAACUUUAAACGCAUAUAUAUUAAAGAAAAAAGCUCAAUUAAUUUAAACAACCUCAAACACUAGAAUUCUACAAUGAAAGGGAAAAAGAGAGAGGGGGAAGAGAAUUACUGAACAGGGAAACAAUGAAGAAUUGAAAACACUGACCAUUACAAACUAAAAGCAAAAUUAAUUAAAAACCAAUGGAUUAACCGAAAAUAAAAUCAUUGAGAGCACCAAAUAUCAAACUCUGAACAAGAGAAUACAUUGUACCCCCAAACACCGAUCCCAAGUUACCAUGAUUCAUCUGAUGAGGAUAUUGAUGAUUAUUAUUGUUGUUGUAUCCAAACUGAACAUGAUUAUUGUAAUCCGGAGGAUAUCCCCAACCAUGAAAAUGAUCAGGUUGGGAUGGUGGCCCCAUCGCCCAGGGUGGAGGCGCAUGGUGGUGUAUCCCACGUGAACGUGAAGUCGAGGAGGCUGCUGUCGAUGUUUGAAGGCAAUUGAUAUGGAUAUUGACAUUACAAACGUUGCAGCCAUAAACCCAGAGAGAAGAAAAUUUAGCUUUGCAAAUAGAACAACGGCCAUAUGGGAGCCUGUAGAGGCGGAGCUUAUGGUCGGGGUCUUUGACGUGGCGGAGGCUGUUGGGAAGGCGAGUGCAAAAUGAGUGAACAUAGAAGUGGCAGUCUUUGCAUUGGUAGAAACUGCUGUGGAUGGUUUCACGGCAAACGUCACAACUCAGGUGAGUUCGAGAGUACGGAUGGUGGGGGUUGCGAAUCAUAUUGUGAGUAAGCGGGUGGUGGUGGAGGAAGGAGGAGAGUCUAUGGGAGUAGUCGUCGUCGUUGGGGAGAUUCAUUGUUGUCAGAGCCAUUUCUCUCCGUGAUGAGUAGAAAAGAAAAAAGAGAGAAAAAUGGAGCUCUUGGGUUAGUCGUGUUGUGUUAUAGUGAGCAAUAUUUUAUACAUCAUAAAAUUUGUAAAAACACAAUUAUAUAUUGAUACUAUUCAUAACUUCGUUCCCUUAAAUUGAUGUGACAAUUUAUAUAUUUUAAAGUUUUAAUUAGAGGAGCAAUUUUUUUUUUCAAAGUAUAGAAUUUGGAUUAUAUUAGGUGUAAAUAAAAAAAAAAAAAAACACUAAUGACCUAUUUUAAUAUACAUUAUGUAAUAACAUAAUAGCCUAAAGUUGUUCUUUAUUCUACACUUUACAAGUUUUAUUGGUUAAAUAUCUCUCAUUUGAUUUUAGUUUUAUUUAUUUUCAUGUUUUUAUUUUUAUUUUUGGUUUUUUUAACGAGAUAUUAUUCUUUUAUCAAGAUACUUUUUUUUCUUCAACACUUCUUUUCUUUCAAUAUACAUUGCUAACAUUAUAUUCAAUUUAAUUUUGCAUCACCAUAUGCAAUGAGUUUUUUUCGUAUAUAAUAAUGCAUCUGUAUUUUUCUUGUUUUGCAAUAUUUUCAUAGUAUAUCUCUCAAAUGUAUAAUGUGGUAUAUUUACUACUUUUUUUUUAAUUCCAUAAUUUCUCAUUAUCUUGUAUCUUUUCUCAAUAUAGAAUGUAUUUAGUAAUGUAUCAUCUAUCAUUCGAUAUGUAAUGAGUGUUUUCAUAUAGACUGUGUUUUCUUUCUUUCUUUCUUUCUUUCUUUUUUUUUGCAAUAUUUUCUUACGUAAUUAAUCUUUUAUAGUAUAUUUCUCAAAUAUUUAAUGUGAAUCACGAUAACAUUUUUUAAUUAUAUAUAAUUUAUGAUCAUGUAACCUUUUAACAAAAAGAGACGUGAAGAAUAAAUAUAGCUAAAAUUUAAAUAAGAAAUAUAUUUAACCAAUAAAAUCACUAAAAUGAAGGGAUCUAAUAAUACACACUAAGUAAUACACCAUAAAUAAUAGUAAUUACAAUAUAUAUCAAAUUAAAUACAAAAUCGUAUUUGAUAAUAUUUAAAGUUGAUUCUUUUAAUGUAAUUAAAUGGUAAAAUUUAGAGAUGGAAUGAGUACUCAGAUUAAUUUUGUCCUAAAAUUAAGAAAUGAGAGGUGAAUUAGACUAUAACUCUAAGUCUUUGAAAUAUAUAUAUAUAUAUAUAUAUAUAUAUAUAUGAUUGUAGUAGCAUCCACCUUUGUGUUGUAAAGAAAUUAAUGAAGAAUGUAGCAGCUUCCUUUUUCUAAAUUAGAGGGGGAAAAAGUGUUUGGAAUAAUUCAACAUUUGGGGCGGAUUUAUUUUUUGUGAUUCAUUACACAUUACAUAUGUAUAAAAGUUAAAGCUAAAGUUGAAAACAAAUACAACUCCCUUCUCGAAUAAAUAAAUAAAUAAAGCUAAAGUCUUAAGUACGAACCUUUCCUUUUUUGUUGCCUCUUUUCUUUUACAAUCUCAAAUAAUGAUUUUGUAAAUACGUGUUUCACAUUAUGUAAUCUUUUACUUUAUUUUUCUUCUUCUUUUUUUUGCUUCUGUGUUGUCUUUAAAAAAAAGAAAAAAACAUACUCAUGACUACUUCUUUCAAAAUCACAAAACAUGAAAUUAAAGAUUGUCACAAUUGAAAACCCUCAUCUAUGUCAAAUUUUCAAAUUUGAAUAUAACUAUAUUACAACACUUUUCUUUUUUACAGACCCAAAUAAAUGUCAGUCUAAGUUAUUCAGAUACAUUUUUUUACGUUGACAAAAACAUCGUCGUAUUCAUGUUAGGAGAAGUUCUUGCCGAUGAAAUUAAGUUUAGUUGGCAUAAGUACCUUUUCUCCAAUGUAUGUUGUUACGUUAGCAUACAAGUUGUGCUGACAAAGCUCAGCUUUGUCUAUAUAGUGUAUUUUUCCUAACGAAAAAUGUUGCGUUGGCAUAUAAGUUGUCCCUACGAAAAUACAUGUUUUGUCAAUAUAACGGUUCUUCACAUUUAAAAAAAAAACAUAUGCUUGUUGACGUUGCUUUUGUUAGCACAAGUGGUUUACAAUUUUAUAUAUAAAUUGUAAUUGCUAAAUAAACACUUUUUUCUCAAUAAUAUUUAAUUAUGGACGAACAAUAAUUAAAUCUCAAUUGAGGAACAAAAUAUAACAAAAAUAAGCUUGUAUAUUGAAAAUAAAAUUAAUAUUCAAUUCAACAAUGUAGCGCACGUUAGUAGUAUAAAUACAUUUGAGAAUUGCCAAGUUUUCACAAAUCUCGCACAUACAUCUUUUCCUAAGCCAAAGUUUUUCAUUCUUUUCACUUUUUGCAAAUCUCCUAUGCUAAAAUAACAUUUCAUUCUCCUAAUCCAAAAUAAGUAAGAUGUGUUACAAGAAAAUAAGUAGUACUCUCAAAAUCUUCUUCCAAUCUCCAAAAACCAAUGUUUGAGAAUUCAAUUUAGAAUGGUAUAACCUAAAAUAGAAAACACAGUAAAAGUGACAAAGUCCCAACAAAUAUGAUAUAAUGACAAUAAUAAAUAAAGUAAAAACUAAGAAAAUAGCACAUAAUAUGAACAUAAAAAAUGGAUGCAUUCAAACUACACAAAGAAUCAAAGUUUGUUGAUGAUGGAUACAUAUAUUGAACAAGUGGCCGUCAAAUUAAUAGCACAUAGUUUGAAUAUAACAAAAAUAUAAUGACAAAGUCACGUUUGUGGGUGUGAUCACUUUGUUACUUUGGAGAGAUGGAUGUACGUAAGUGCCAAAGUAAGAUAAAGUAACAAAAGUUCAUUAGACCACUCUUAUACCCUCUAUCAUUAUUUGGUCUCCUUUCACUUUUCAGUUCAAUAUCUUCUUUAACCUUCAAAAAAUCUAUCAUUAAGUUUUCUAUAUAUAGAAAAUUUUAAUUUAUUAUUAAAAUUAAAAGUUCUUAGAGUUUGUUAGGGAGAAUUUUCAUAGUAAAAAAAGUAUUAUAUUUAAUUUACACUUCAUAUUUGUUAACAUAUGAUAGAGUAGAGGUCUCUCAGUAUGUUCUAUUAUUUAUAACCCUCAAUGGUCUCUCAUUUAAAAUGGUGGGGUUUUAAUAUUUUUUUUCUUACUAAUUUUCUAAUUUUAAGAGGAUCUUUGUUAGUGGUUUUCACCAAAUUUUAUUAGGCUAAAUAAUAAAAAUUAACGCUGUCUCUUAUAAAAUAGUUGUUAAUUUUACUCUUUUUUGUUUCUUAAAGAAGUACUAAAAUAGUGUUUGAUAAAUUUUAGGAAAAAAUGCACAAACGACACUCAUUGAUUACAAUAACACUUCUGAACUAUCGAUUUGAUCAAUCAUAUAUCCCCUUAAAAGUUUAUUAUUGGUUGCAAUCAAUCCUUUGGUUAAAUAAAAUUUUAUUCAUAUUCAUAUUCAUAUGCAAUAUCCAUACGUUAUUAAAACGAAACUCAAAUAAAGACCAACAUGCAAAACUAAAAAAAUACAACAUACUAAGUAAUUAAAACGGAAGUCAAAUAAAGAAGAACACAUAACUUAAAAAUAUAUAACACACUUGACAUUUCACCACAACGGUCAAUCCAUGGACAGAGAGCAAUUGAGCAAACAUUGACUUUACAAUCUUUAAGCGGAACGAUGUAAGGGGCAGCAUAGCCCUAACCAGCCCUUCAUAAUGCCCAAGACAUUUGGGCUCUUCAACCUCAAAUACAGAUAUAUAUUACACACUUCAAAAACAAUACUCUAACCGAGAUAUUCCGUUAAUACCUCCUGACCCCUCAUUAUAAAAAAAGAAACGCUAGAUUAAUCUAAAAAGAGAAAAAGAUCUUUAUUGAGCUAAUUAAACAAAAGGCUAGAGAUGAAAGAAGCACCAAUACUUCCAGCAACAGAUGAAGCCAUGGAUGUCAAAGCCCUACAGUUUUUCUUACCCUUGGAUUGAGGAGGAGGAGGAGCUUUUGUUGUUGGCGCAUCAUACAUGGGGUAUCCUUCAUACAAACUAGAUUGAUAAGGAUAAUAAUCCUCAUAUUCAUGAUAGCUACAUUGAUGAUCAGGAGGAGGAGCUCUUGUUGGUGGUGCAUCAUACUUGGGGUAUCGGCCUUGAUAAUUACAAGGAGACCGGUGAGGAUAAUAAUCCUCAUAUUCAUGAUAGCUAGUGUGUCGAGCACGAUGAGGACGAGAAACUGGUGCUUUGUACUUAGGAUAUGAUCUUUUAUGAGGAUAAAUAUAUUCAUCGCUGUGAUAACCAUAUGUACUAUUCAUGUUUGGACUGUGCAUGCCAAAUAACAAAAAUAUGAAUAUGGCAAGGGUUAGGGUCCUUUAGAGGUUGAGAGUUUUGUGACAACAUAUAUGAUCAGAGAGGCAAUAUAUAUAUAUAAUACUUGAGAAAUUUCAAAACCAU
RNAcentral lists this long non-coding RNA (12210 nucleotides) under Cucumis sativus (cucumber). RNAcentral's name for it is "long non-coding RNA (CSAT_LNC001584)". Lineage: Eukaryota; Viridiplantae; Streptophyta; Magnoliopsida; Cucurbitales; Cucurbitaceae. The record is from RNAcentral.